Molecule: non-coding RNA, 1252 nt
Organism: Odocoileus virginianus texanus
Lineage: Eukaryota; Metazoa; Chordata; Mammalia; Artiodactyla; Cervidae
Source: RefSeq, a predicted model, not a curated record
UCUAAACCAUUAUCAAUAUUCCCUGGGUUCUGUGUAGUAAGAGUUGGCCUUUUAGACAGAGUCUUCUCCAUUUCAGCCAUGGGGAAUGACAUUUGUUCUCCACGGUCUUGGUUUGAAGAAAGUGUGUAUAAUAGGAUGAACAUAACCAGAUGGAUAAGAAAAAUGACACAAAAACAUGCAAGCUUGUAAUGAGGCAUAGUUAUUGAUCAUUAGAGAAAGACAUCUGUCCGACCUAAAAAGUCAAAGAGAUAGAGUGGCUCAAUUCCAGAAUCAGGGAGACAAACAAGCAGCCCAUUUCAUCUGCAGCCAAAGUUAGAUUGCUCUAUCAGCCACGAGGGUGCUUCCAUUAUAUCCCACUCCUGCAGGAAAGGGCUAGGAUAGGAGAAGCCAGGAAGCAGAAGAAAUAACUUCACGGAUAGUUGUUCCUAUUUCUCAUGGUAUUUCCCAGAGGGACAUCACUGGCUUUUACUUUUUCCUGGACAAUUCUUUCACUUGCAAGCUUUUCUCAUUUACUCAAACAUAUUUGUUAUCCCUGGCCCCUGCAUACUAAACGCCAAAAGUGACCCAAAACUCUCGCUAGUGAGGAUGAAAUUCCCUUGAGGAGAACCACUGAGUAGAUCUUGGAACCCUUGGAGAGGAUCCUUGAGGUCAUAAAGGUUUCACAUUUCUAUUUUGUAGAUAAAGAAAGUGAACUCCAUUCCAGAUUUUAUUAAGUAGGGACAAGCCUAGAACCUGAUUUUCAUGACUCUCAGUUAUUGUGGUGUGUUUCUCCCAGAUCUUACAGUGCCUUGAUUUUAAAAGUAUACCUGAAGCCAGAAAGUUCAUGGAUUCAAUGAAACUCUGAAACAAUGAUAUAUGGUUCAAACAAGUUCUUUGAAAAGCUACAUGCUUAGCUAGCCAUAAUGUCUUAUUGGACAGAUAAGAGAAACUGCAUAAGAUGGAGACUGACAAUCAUGAAAAAAAAUUCCACAGAUAGAUCUAAACCUCUCACCUUGAGACUCACAUCUGCUGCCAGGAUAACUGAGCUGGAAGAAGUUCAAAAACUGUCUACCAUACUUAGCAAAAAUCUUUAUCCCCAAAGAAACUGAGGACUUGUUACUCUGAGUAUGUCUCCAAGAGCAAGAUAAAAUGAUGAGCUAAGUCUCUUUCAUAGUCCAAGCACCAUGAAAGACACUGGAAUAUAGCAGUGACAUGUGUAAACACUGCCCUCCUGAACUUACAGUUUAAUAUUGUUGUUUAAUCGCUAAGCUGU